ACAUUUAAGUGUAUGAUGCACAUUAGUUUUUGAUACUAAAAGGGUUAGUUUAAUUCUUACUUAUGU
RNAcentral lists this transfer RNA (66 nucleotides) under Tetrataenia surinama. Its description in RNAcentral is "partial tRNA-Gln". The record is from RNAcentral. Lineage: Eukaryota; Metazoa; Arthropoda; Insecta; Orthoptera; Acrididae.